GGGGGGGGGUGGUGACUGAUCAACUGAAAAAACUGAGAUUAAACUGAGAAAUUUGAAAAACCCUGUUUGAGAUUUUGCUUGAAAUCGUUGUUUGGGAUUAAAUAGCAGGGUCGCAUCCAGUAUUCCGAGAAGUACUUCAAUGAUAUCUACGUGUACAGGCAUGUGGCUAAACUGCUCCCAAAAAAAGGGGCUUCUCUGCGAGGGAUGGGUCUUCUUCUUCAGCUUAGUGGGCACUGUACCUUUAGCAGAGCGUCUAGGUAAUGCGACUGAGGCAUUGGAUGUUUAACUUAACAUCACAAGUAAAUUGCAUUGGUUCUUUCCAUUGAAUUUGUGCUUUGGCCUUGCUCAACUGAAGUCCUUCCCGAGAAAUCUGGAGCACCAGAUUGUCCUGCAAUACUUUAUGAAGACUCAAAGAUGCAAAUUUGUAUGAGAUGCAAGUUUAAUCAUCCAAAGGACAAGUAUGCUUUUGCUGCUGCCAAUCUACAGGUAAAGCUUAAAUUUACAUAUAUAUAUUUUUUAUUUUUCUUGAUUGGAAUUUGGGCUUUUUGUUCCUCCUUAAUCUCAAAGUUCUGUAAUUUAUGCAACUUUGAUCGAAAGACAUGUUUUUUAUUGCUGAAAAUUGUUAACCCCUGUUUAGGUAUUCAUUUGCUAAUUAAAAUCACUUUUUGGAUUCCGUAACUGAACCUCCUUGCUCCUCUUUUAACUCUAGAAUCUUCAGUAUAUAUGUGGGUUUUGCUUUGAAUUUGAUAAACCUCUCUGUGUUCGUGAGCUGAUACAGUUUUUGGGUACUAAGUCAAAAUUUUGUUGGAUAGGAACCCAUAAACAAGUAUGAGGAAGUGUGUGAAUCAUCACUCAGCAAGGGUGAUUGGCGAUAGAAAUUGGGUUAUUCCAUUCAUUACUGGCUUUAUCCUACUCAUUACCCUCUAUUUCUUAAAAGGGUUUUGGCUCUGGAAGGAGAUGGCGAUCGGUGAAAAUGAUCGGAGUUCGUUGCUGUGUGGGUGAUCCCAGUGUAGCGCUGGUUUUCAACUCUGGUGAUUUGUAGGGUUUUGGGGGUGUGAAUUUUGGGGUAUUUCAUUUGGAUUUCUGGGUAAGCAGUUGCCACCUCUAUCAACUAAAAUUUAGUUCCCUUCUUUUGUUUCUCAAAUUUGUUUUGCCACCUCUAUCACCUGUGGUUAAUUGUUUUGCAUUCUUUGUGGUCAUUUUUAUUCUUUCCAUGGUUUCCUGUAA
Molecule: long non-coding RNA, 1227 nt
Organism: Pyrus x bretschneideri (Chinese white pear)
Lineage: Eukaryota; Viridiplantae; Streptophyta; Magnoliopsida; Rosales; Rosaceae
Exons: 7
Source: RefSeq, a predicted model, not a curated record